Molecule: unclassified non-coding RNA, 378 nt
Filed under: plant metagenome
Description: partial contains 5.8S ribosomal RNA, internal transcribed spacer 2, and large subunit ribosomal RNA
Rfam family: 5.8S ribosomal RNA (bases 1-105)
Source: RNAcentral
GAAAUGCGAUAAGUAAUGUGAAUUGCAGAAUUCAGUGAAUCAUCGAAGCUUUGAACGCACCUUGCGCUCCUUGGUAUUCCUUGGAGCAUGCCUGUUUGAGUAUCAUGAAAUCUUCAAAGUAAAUCUUUUGUUAACUCAAUUGGUUUCUACUUUGGUAUUGGAGGUCUUUGCAGCUUCACACCUGCUCCUCUUUGUUCAUUAGCUGGAUCUCAGUGUUAUGCUUGGUUCCACUCGGCGUGAUAAGUUAUCUAUCGCUGAGGACACUGUAAAAGGUGGCCAAGGUAAAUGCAGAUGAACCGCUUCUAAUAGUCCAUUGACUUGGACAAUACUUUUAUGAUCUGAUCUCAAAUCAGGUAGGACUACCCGCUGAACUUAAGC